This 85-nucleotide non-coding RNA is filed under the name unclassified sequences. RNAcentral's name for it is "c-di-GMP sequence". It matches the Rfam family "c-di-GMP-II-GAG riboswitch aptamer". The record is from Rfam by way of RNAcentral.
GGAUGCGCGGGAGGCCGCGAUGGGCCGUCCAAACCCCUGCCGCCGGGACGGUCCUGAGCCACUGGCGAGACGGGCCCGCGGGCAC